Molecule: long non-coding RNA, 959 nt
Organism: Suricata suricatta (meerkat)
Lineage: Eukaryota; Metazoa; Chordata; Mammalia; Carnivora; Herpestidae
Exons: 4
Source: RefSeq, a predicted model, not a curated record
CGGCGCGCAGCCCUAGAUCUCCAACCCCUUCCCCUUCCCCCACCCCGCCGGUGGCCUCGCGCCGUCCGCCGGAGUCGCUUCUGCAGCUCGGUCCCCAGGUGAGGAUGGGAGGCGGGCUCCGCGAGAAACGGGGUCCAGGCGGGGGCGGGCGCCGUGGGGCCGCCAGGGCUGGUCUGGCCUCCAGCUUCACUCCCACCUCCAUUCCGGGACCCGCAGCUGGCCCCCUGCUGUGGGCCGGGAAAAGUGGGGGUUACCCUGGGGACUUACUGCUGGAGAAGUACGGUACGGUCUUUCCGCUGAGCGCUCAUGGCUACCCUCGGGAAAGUGCGCUCUCGCUGCGCUGCCGCCGAGCCUGUGAGCCUCCCAGCCUCCCGACGGACUAAGGGCAGUUGACCCCUGCCACGAGUCAGUGACACCGGUGGUCUGGGCUACCUUCCUGAGGACCGAACUGUGCUCCAGUCUCAGGCUGCUGUGGUCCUCCGCAACCUUGGGACGCUUUGUCACUCGGCGCAGACAGAGGAAGAGCGAGGCUCAGAGUGACUUGCCAAGAGGUUGCCACGCUCCCUGCUACUCCCUUUAGCCCACACUCCUGUGGGAUCCGCAGCCAAGCGUUUACAGAUGAAGAAACGGACUGUGAGGGGCCGCGGGUCCUCCCGGGGUCACUCGGCUGAAUGUAAGCUCCACCAAAGCAGUGAUUUCUGUCUACCUUCCUAUUUCCAGCAUCAGGCACACAGGAUGUUGAAGGAGCACAUACAGUAAUAGAAUGGAAAAGCUCUGGGCAAUGCUGGGGACCGGGGACCCUGGCACACGCCACCCCCACCACACCCCUGGGCAGCAGGAUGAUGGCGGUGCAGGAGUGUUGAAGCACCACAGAAAGGCACGAAAUAAAGAACAAAAUCCCACUCGGCCUCAGUUCCACUCAGCAUUUCUGUUUUCAUAUAACCUAAUUGUACAUAAUA